Molecule: RNA transcript, 1832 nt
Organism: Mandrillus leucophaeus (drill)
Lineage: Eukaryota; Metazoa; Chordata; Mammalia; Primates; Cercopithecidae
Gene name: transcription factor Dp-1 pseudogene
Exons: 1
Source: RefSeq, a predicted model, not a curated record
CCAGAAAAAUCAUUUUUCUUCUCUGGGAAGGUGAACAUUUGUAGCAUUGAUUUCCCGGAUCUGGUAACAUGGCAAAAGAUGCCGGUCUAAUUGAAGCCAACGGAGAACUCAAGGUCUUCAUAGAUCAGAACCUUAGUCCCGGGAAAGGCGUGGUGUCCCUCGUGGCCGUUCACCCCUCCACAGUCAACCCGCUCGGGAAGCAGCUUUUGCCAAAAGCCUUUGGACAGUCCAAUGUCAGCAUUGCCCAGCAAGUGGUGAUUGGUAUGCCUCAGAGACCUGCAGCGUCAAACAGCCUGGUGGUAGGAAGCCCACACCCCCCCAGCACUCACUUUGCCUCUCAGAACCAGCCUUCUGACUCCUCACCUCGGUCUGCAGGGAAGCGCAUCAGGAAGGGAGAGAAUUGCAAGGGCCUGCGGCAUUUCUCCAUGAAGGUCUGCGAGAAGGUGCAGAGGAAAGGGACCACUUCCUACAACGAAGUGGCUGACGAGCUGGUCGCAGAGUUCAGUGCUGCCGACAACCACAUCUUGCCAAACGAGUCAGCUUAUGACCAGAAGAACAUAAGACGGCGCGUCUAUGAUGCCUUAAACGUGCUGAUGGCCAUGAACAUCAUCUCCAAGGAGAAGAAGGAGAUUAAGUGGAUUGGUCUGCCCACCAACUCGGCUCAGGAAUGUCAGAACUUAGAGGUAGAAAGACAGAGGAGACUUGAAAGAAUAAAACAGAAACAGUCUCAACUUCAAGAACUUAUUCUACAGCAAAUUGCCUUCAAGAACCUGGUGCAGAGAAAUCGGCACACUGAGCAGCAGGCCAGCCGGCCGCCACCACCCAACUCGGUCAUCCACCUGCCCUUCAUCAUCGUCAACACCAGCAAGAAGACCGUCAUCGACUGCAGCAUCUCCAACGACAAACUCGAGUAUCUAUUUAAUUUUGACAACACGUUUGAAAUCCACGGUGACAUAGAAGUGCUGAAGCGGAUGGGCAUGGCUUGCUGGCUGGAGUCCGGGAGCUGCUCUGCUGAAAACCUUAAAAUGGCCCGAAGUCUGGUCCCAAAGGCGCUGGAGCCGUAUGUGACAGAAAUGGCUCAGGGAACUGUUGGAGGCGUGUUCAUCACAGCGGCAGGUUCCACGUCUAAAGGCACAAGGUUCUCUGCCAGUGACCUGACCAACGGUGCAGAUGGGGUGCUGGCCACAAGCUCCAACGUGUCUCAGCACAGCGGCUCCAGGACGGAGACCCCGGUGUCCUAUGUCGGAGAGGACAAGGAGGAGGAUGAUGACUUCGAAGAGAAUGACAAGGACGACUGACGCCCUCCCUACUUCAAAUGCCGCUUCAGGAAAACAUUUAGGGAAAAGAAACUUUUUUUUUUUUUUAAUGUGGGUUUUCUGUUCCCUUUUGUCCUACUCCCAAGAAGACAUUGGUAAGCUAUUGAAUUUAGAUAUGCACCUUUGAUAAGCAAGGAUUGUUUCCCGUAGGUUUAGGACGUGCUGUGGAUGUGUUUUGAUACCAGUGUGCUGACGCAGAGUGUUUAUUUACUUUUUAGUAUUUUGUGUUUUCAUUUUCUAUUUUUCUUUAAGUGCAGAGUUCAGUUUUGCCCCUGAACAGUUUUUGCUGAGUUUGCUGGAGAAAUUGUAUUUCAUCCACAUGCAUGAAAAUAAAACGCCCUCCUGUUGUGGAUGGUGAGCACCUGACUCCGUUUAUUUGCCAUGAGUUUGGACGGCGCCCCCACUGGCAGAUAGUGAGACUCUGUGGAGUUUUCCAUUUGUUCAGUGGUACGGUGUCCAGAGCCCCAAGCAAACAGCAGAAUUCGACUUUUUAAACAAUAAACACCAUCAACCUUA